CCUACGGGAGGCAGCAGUAGGGAAUAUUGGUCAAUGGGCGCAAGCCUGAUGCAGCCAUGCCGCGUGUGUGAAGAAGGCCUUCGGGUUGUAAAGCACUCUCAGCGAGGAGGAAGGUGGUGAACUUAAUACGUUCAUCAAUUGACGUUACUCGCAGAAGAAGCACCGGCUAACUCCGUGCCAGCAGCCGCGGUAAU
RNAcentral lists this ribosomal RNA (194 nucleotides) under uncultured bacterium. RNAcentral's name for it is "partial 16S ribosomal RNA". It matches the Rfam family "Bacterial small subunit ribosomal RNA", at positions 338 to 524 of the family's 1533-position model. The record is from RNAcentral.